Molecule: long non-coding RNA, 1039 nt
Organism: Asparagus officinalis (garden asparagus)
Lineage: Eukaryota; Viridiplantae; Streptophyta; Magnoliopsida; Asparagales; Asparagaceae
Exons: 2
Source: RefSeq, a predicted model, not a curated record
CAAUUUCUUAUUUCUCAACCUUUGAAUUGAAUUUACAGUUUUUUUUUUUGGUUCGAAUUGGGAAAUUAACUACUUUAAUUUGGGAUUCGGGAGAGGAAUACGCUAGCUUGAUUGAGUUGGUAUAUCUGAUCCUAAGUUUUAAUGAACGGCGGAUUCAUUCUUCUUCGUCUUCACUCCUCUAUACUAAACCCUAGAUCUAAGCUUUAGUUAUGCUCAAUUCACCGUAUCCCCUUUUAGUUUUUCAAUCUUCUCAUUUUGUUCUAAUAAUUUUGCCCAAAUUCUCGAUUUUCUACAGAUUCAAGCGACAAGCGUUUAAAUAUACGAACAACACCUAUAUUGCGACUAUAAAAAGAAGCGUUCGUCUUCUUUUCCCGCGCAAAAUCGCUUGAAUCCGGUUAAGGUCACCACUAAUCUCACCAGAGGCCAGGUAUACCUUUCCUCAAUUUUAAUUUUAAUUUUUUUUACUUUUUUUCUUCCGAUGAAAUUGUUGAUAGCACCCUAAAAAUGGGAGCUAUUUUGUCUGUAUAUUGGAACUUAGCUGUAGGAUAAAUUAGGUGUACUGUGGCUGUGAUUGAAUGCCAGUUUGUAAGCUAGGUCAUUGAGCUCAGGGAAAACUCUAGGGUCCAUAGAUUCUAUUUAUUUAGUUGAUACGUGCAAAUGAUUUCCCUUAGAUGACUGGAAAUUAUGAAUUAAUUGCUAUAUCAAUUCUGUUUUGAUCAAUCUAAUAUCAAUUGUGUAACCAAUAGAUUGAAGAUAUGAAUUAAUUGCUAUAUCAAUUCUAUUAAAUAUAUUUAUAUCAUGACUUCUUAAUAAUGCAAUAGCUACUCCAGACAGAAAUACAGGAGCCCCUUUAACCAAUAACCAUUACUUGAGAAAACCUGUUCAGUAGUCCUCUUAGCAAUAAUUUGACUACAUUUUUUAUUACAUGUAGGGAUUUUUUAAAAAUAUAUUUUUUUCCCCUAAGAAAAACACAUUAUGGUAUUUUGAGGCUUUGGGUUUGCUUUUCUCUCAAUUCUCCUUGGCUGCAGGGUAGUCCACG